UACCGUGACGUAUGGGACUUAGACCGGUCCCCACCGUUCAAGUUUUCUUUACUGUUCUUCCUACAACGAGUUUAAAAAGUUCAACCACAAGUUGUAUAAGCCUUUUAAACCUGCUGUCGUUUCCUUGUUUAUCGCGAACCAGCCCUCCACCUACAUAGGUCGUUUUCCUUUCCUUCUUUUCCUUUCCUACUAUGAGAUAGGGUUUAGGGGUGUCAAGGUAACUUGUCUUCCAGCUGAGAGUCCAGUGAACGAGCGGUUAACCCACAGUCAGUAUGAUGUGAGAUGUUCUUUGAGUUCGAAGCGUUCUAAUCCACCGUGAGGUUAGCAGACUUCGGUAGGAACUUUCUUUUCUUAUCUUCUCUCUCCUAGUUCAAAACAAACAGUUAUUAACUGCUCUGGUGGAAUCGUCGAGGUUCUGGAUUCAAGUAACCAUACGUGUUGUAACACGUAUAACUGCUUUUCACCAAGAUAUACUGCUUUUACUUGUCUUUGAUGAUGGAGGAGGGCCUCCUUCUACUAGGCCAGUCUUGACAUAACCCUUUCACUACAAAGACUGGCGACAACGAGCUGGGUCUAUACUGCGACUUCCGUUAUACUGUAAGAGGCCAUUUUAACCACAUACCGGGAAACACGUUCUCUAAGGGCGACGAUCUUCUUCGCUUAUAUCUCGUUCUCCCUGGUAACUUUACUUCAGGCAGUUGCACUUGGCUGCCCAUUACUCCUCCAUAUACUAUCUUUUUCACCAAGGUCCUUAUUUCCUUCAAACCGGGCGUCUACUAUGAUUAGGUUAUAACUAGGUUGUUCUAUUGCACUCUUGCGUGUAAGAAGGGCCACUACGUCUCAAACGUCUUCGACACCGAUGUUGACCAGACCUGUAAUUUUAUUAUUUGGUCGGAGGUUUAAGAGGACUAGAUUUGCGUGAACUAGAACCUAUAAAGUCUAGGGAACUCAGAAACUGGCUAACGUCUCGUGGGUGCUGAUAGUUUCUUGACUAAGUUCCACAUGUCCUUCUUAAACUACUCAUACUACGGCCCUUUGAGUUGUCUUAUAAAGAUUGUGAAGUCUGGUAGUACCAUCUCCACUACUUGGUACCUCCUCUUUUAAGUAUGUUUUAAGGUGUAAACGCGUUCCUCUCUAACCUUUCCGUUCCUUAGGAUGGCGGAUCCUAAGUGAAAGGGGUACUCCAAAUACUUUUACGGUACCUCUAAGAUCUUGUUCUAUAGUACCUCAUC
This 1232-nucleotide ribosomal RNA is filed under the name Triticum aestivum (bread wheat). Its description in RNAcentral is "partial small subunit ribosomal RNA". The record is from RNAcentral. Lineage: Eukaryota; Viridiplantae; Streptophyta; Magnoliopsida; Poales; Poaceae.